Molecule: transfer RNA, 82 nt
Filed under: Oryctolagus cuniculus (rabbit)
Lineage: Eukaryota; Metazoa; Chordata; Mammalia; Lagomorpha; Leporidae
Rfam family: tRNA
About the family: Transfer RNA (tRNA) molecules are approximately 80 nucleotides in length. Their secondary structure includes four short double-helical elements and three loops (D, anti-codon, and T loops). Further hydrogen bonds mediate the characteristic L-shaped molecular structure. tRNAs have two regions of fundamental functional importance: the anti-codon, which is responsible for specific mRNA codon recognition, and the 3' end, to which the tRNAs corresponding amino acid is attached (by aminoacyl-tRNA synthetases). tRNAs cope with the degeneracy of the genetic code in two manners: having more than one tRNA (with a specific anti-codon) for a particular amino acid; and 'wobble' base-pairing, i.e. permitting non-standard base-pairing at the 3rd anti-codon position.
Source: Rfam by way of RNAcentral
GGUGCUGUGGCAUAGUGGGUAAAGCCUGUGUCUGCAGUGCCAGCAUCCCAUAUGGGCACUGGUUCGAAUCCUGGCUGCACCA